GCUCAGGAUGAACGCUAGCUACAGGCUUAACACAUGCAAGUCGAGGGGUAGCAGGGUAGCAAUACCGCUGACGACCGGCGCACGGGUGAGUAACACGUAUCCAACCUUCCCAUAACUCAGGGAUAGCCUUUCGAAAGAAAGAUUAAUACCUGAUAGUACUUAAGAAAGGCAUCUUUUUUAAGUUAAAGAUUUAUUGGUUAUGGAUGGGGAUGCGUUCCAUUAGAUAGUUGGUGAGGUAACGGCUCACCAAGUCUUCGAUGGAUAGGGGUUCUGAGAGGAAGGUCCCCCACAUUGGUACUGAGACACGGACCAAACUCCUACGGGAGGCAGCAGUGAGGAAUAUUGGUCAAUGGGCGAGAGCCUGAACCAGCCAAGU
RNAcentral lists this ribosomal RNA (376 nucleotides) under uncultured Bacteroidales bacterium. RNAcentral describes it as "bacterial SSU rRNA". It matches the Rfam family "Bacterial small subunit ribosomal RNA", at positions 22 to 397 of the family's 1533-position model. Lineage: Bacteria; Pseudomonadati; Bacteroidota; Bacteroidia; Bacteroidales. The record is from RNAcentral.